GGCAUCUAAGCGUGAAACCGGCCACAAGAUAAGAUAUCCCACUGAUUAAUCAGGUAAGACCCCUGGAAGACUAGCAGGUAGAUAGGCUCAAGGUGUAAGCGUCGUGAGGCGUUAAGCCAGCGAGUACUAAUCGGUCGAGGGCUUGACCUAG
RNAcentral lists this ribosomal RNA (151 nucleotides) under Oscillospiraceae bacterium. Its description in RNAcentral is "partial 23S ribosomal RNA". It matches the Rfam family "Bacterial large subunit ribosomal RNA", at positions 2776 to 2925 of the family's 2925-position model. Lineage: Bacteria; Bacillati; Bacillota; Clostridia; Eubacteriales; Oscillospiraceae. The record is from RNAcentral.